This 500-nucleotide ribosomal RNA is filed under the name uncultured bacterium. RNAcentral's name for it is "partial 16S ribosomal RNA". It matches the Rfam family "Bacterial small subunit ribosomal RNA", at positions 30 to 523 of the family's 1533-position model. The record is from RNAcentral.
AUUGAACGCUGGCAGAAUGCUUUACACAUGCAAGUCGAACGGCAGCACGGACUUCGGUCUGGUGGCGAGUGGCGAACGGGUGAGUAAUGUAUCGGAACGUGCCCAGUCGUGGGGGAUAACGUAGUGAAAAUUACGCUAAUACCGCAUACGAUCUAUGGAUGAAAGCGGGGGAUCGCAAGACCUCGCGCGAUUGGAGCGGCCGAUAUCAGAUUAGGUAGUUGGUGGGGUAAAGGCCCACCAAGCCAACGAUCUGUAGCUGGUCUGAGAGGACGACCAGCCACACUGGAACUGAGACACGGUCCAGACUCCUACGGGAGGCAGCAGUGGGGAAUUUUGGACAAUGGGCGAAAGCCUGAUCCAGCCAUUCCGCGUGCAGGAUGAAGGCCCUCGGGUUGUAAACUGCUUUUGUACAGAACGAAAAGGUUUCUACUAAUACUAGGAGCUCAUGACGGUACUGUAAGAAUAAGCACCGGCUAAUUACGUGCCAGCCGCCGCAGUAA